CCUCAACUUACUCAACAGCUGUAACCUCCCACCAUAGAGGAGCUCAGUGUUUGAGACAGUGGAAGCAGCACCAUAUGGACUACAGUACAGCAGUGGAGUAACAACAUUCCUCUCACUGACAGGAUAAGGUCAUAAUGGCACUGUGGAUUUUCAGACUAAAAGGCUGUCUUGGCUCUAAAGUGUACUCAGAGGUUCCAGAUGGUGGUUGGGGUUGGAUUGUGGCUGUGGCCUUUUUCCUGGUGGAGGUGUUCACUUACGGGGUUAUCAAAAGUUUUGGGAUUUUUCUCAAGGACUUAAUGAGUGACUUUGGCGAGAGCAACAGUCGAGUAUCAUGGGUCAUUUCAAUAUGUGUCUUUGUUAUGACUUUCACAGCUCCAUUAUCAUCAGUGCUGAGUAAUCGAUUUGGCUUCCAGCCAGUUGUGAUGUUUGGAGGAUUCCUCAUAUCUCUGGGCACAAUCUCAACAGCAUUCACCAGCUCCAUCAAUCAGAUGUACCUCACUAUUGGGAUUGUGACAGGACUGGGCUACUGUCUGACAUUUCUGCCAACCGUCACAAUCUUGUCCCAGUACUUCAGCAGACGUCGUUCUGUGGUCACAGCCAUGGCCUCAACUGGAGAGUCAUUUGCUAUAUUUGCUUUUGCGCCAGCCUUCACAGCUCUUAAGAACUUCAUUGGCUGGAGGUACACAAUGGUGGUGAUUGGAACGUUACAGGGCAUCACUGUUAUCUGUGGGGCUCUGCUCUGUCCCAUAGUCAUCAAACCAAAGACUUCUCCAACAGAUACUGAGCAGAAGAUCACAUGCUCUCUUCCUGAAGAACAAAUGCAAGGCUCUGCUAGCUCUGGAGAUUCAGGUGCACAGUCACUUGAUGAGCUGAAACGGGGUCUCAAAUCUGGGAAGGAACAGAGAGAAGUGGAACCACUUCAGAUCCAUCCAAAACAACAGAUGUCAACCAAAAAUAAGCUCCUAGAUUUGACUGUACUAAAAGAAUGCAGUUUCUUAUGUUAUUCAGCCUUUGGCCUUUUUGCAACACUGGGCUUUUUCGCCCCACAGUUGUAUGUGGUGGAGCUCAGCGCCAGUUUGGGUACCAAGAGGGACAAAGCUGUCUAUAUGCUGUCAACAAUGGCCAUUGCUGAGAUCUUUGGACGUCUCUCCAUCGGAUGGGUCCUGAACUGGGGGCGUAUCAGGAAGAUCUUCGUACUUCUUGGAUGCGUGUCACUGAUGUGCCUGGUGCUGAUGUUGUUUACUGUGGUAAAUGGCUUCUGGGGACUGGCAGUGUGCUGUGUGCUUUACGGCUUCUUACUUGGGAACAUUGCAUCCACGCACAUCCCAAUGUUGGCCGAGGACGAUGUCGUAGGGAUCCAGAGGAUGCCCUUAGCUGUAGGCGUCUAUGUCUGUAUUCAGAGCUUUGCAGGACUGGCUGGUCCACCAUUAGGAGGUAAGAAGAAUUAAAUGUUUUGAGCUACCAUUCAAAGUUUUGGGGUUGGAAAGACUUUAAUGUUCCAAAUUUUUUUCAUAACUGUUUUCUACUGUUAUAUACGCUGCUAAAAAAUGGAACACUUACUCAUCACAAUCAUAAAAUCAAGUUAUUUAAACUUCAAGGGUAUCAAUCUGUCCAGUUAGGAAGCAUAAGUGAUUGAGAAUCAGUUUCUCCUGCUUUGGUGCAAAUGAAAGUGAUAACAGGUGCACUGGAGAGGCAAAAACAAGACCACCCUCAAAAAGACAAUUGCUCUCUCGUUAUCCUUCCUGACUGAUUUGUCCUUAGUUUUGUGUUUUGUUAGGGUUCUUCUCACUACUUGUAGCAUGAGGCAGUACCUGCAACCCAAUGAGGUUGCACAGGUAGUCCAGCUCCUCUAGGAUGGUACAUACAUGCCAUCACAAGGAUGUUUGGUGUGUCUCCCAGCACAGUCUCAUGAGCAUGGAGGAGAUAGCUGGAGACAGGCCAUUACACGAGGAGAGCUGGACAGGGCUGUAGAAAGGACUGGCAUGGAGAGGUAUGGAGGGCCCAGCAGCAGGACUGCUAUCUGUUCCUUUGUGCAAGGAGGAACAGGAUGAGCACUUCCAGAGCCCUCCAAAAUAGCCUCCAGCAGGCUACUGGUGUGCACUUCUGACCAAACUGACAGAAACAAUCUCUCAGAUGGUGGCAUUAGGGCAGCAUGAGGGUCCUGUUGUGGGACCUGUGCUCACAGACUAGCACCAUGCAUCUUGAUUGGCAUAUGCCAGUGAACACCAGAAUUGGCAGAUCUGCCAUUGGUGCCCCAUUCUGUUCAGGGAUCAGAGCAGGUUCACACUGAGCUCAUGUGACAGACUUGAAAGAGUCAUGGAGAACAUUGUGCUGCCUACACCUUUUCGGUGGUGGUUCAGUGAUGGAAUAUCCUUGGAGGGUCGCAGAGACCUCUAUUUGCUAUCCAAAAGUACCCUUACUGCUGUUAGGUCCUCAGAGCUACUGUCAGAACUUACGCUAGUGCAGUGGGCCCUGGGCUCCUGCUGGUGCAAUACCUGGCCUCAUAUGGCCAGAGUGUGUAGGCAGUUUCUGGAUGACAAAGGUAUUGAUGACAUUGACUGGCCCUCAUGUUCCCCACACCUGAAUCCAAUUGAGAACUUCUGGGACGUUGUAUCAGAGCAUCCCAAGCCACUAAGGAGCACCAGGCAGGAGAAUGUCCAGGAGCUCACUGAUGUCCUGAUCCAGGUCUGGCAGGAGAUGUCCCAGGACAUCCUUCAUCUCAUCAGUAGCAUGCCUAAAUGUUGUCAGGAGUGCAUACUGGCACGUGGGGGCCAUACACACUACUGACUUACAUUUUGAGUUGCUUUGGGGAAAUUCAUGCAAGUUCAAUCAGCAGGUGUCCUUGUGGAUGUUACACAAAAUUACAGGGCUGCAUUCUACUCCUGUGCUGCGGGAAUGGGACUAGGUGCCAUCUUCCUUGGGCUCGUACGUCCAGCUCAACUGUACUCGAGGAGGGACAAUGGACAGAAUAACCC
RNA transcript from Onychostoma macrolepis, 2975 nucleotides. It is a transcript of the gene named monocarboxylate transporter 7, with no coding region annotated. The record is from RefSeq and is a predicted model, not a curated record. The transcript has 6 exons. NCBI's taxonomy places the organism in Eukaryota, Metazoa, Chordata, Actinopteri, Cypriniformes, Cyprinidae.